RNAcentral lists this ribosomal RNA (1200 nucleotides) under Janthinobacterium sp. 4cultural_33. Its description in RNAcentral is "bacterial SSU rRNA". It matches the Rfam family "Bacterial small subunit ribosomal RNA", at positions 112 to 1324 of the family's 1533-position model. Lineage: Bacteria; Pseudomonadati; Pseudomonadota; Betaproteobacteria; Burkholderiales; Oxalobacteraceae. The record is from RNAcentral.
GAUAAUACUGGACGUUCCCUGAGUGGGGGUACGGUAGGAAAGUACGGUAAUCCCGCUACGAUUUAGGAUGAAAUUGGGGAUCCAAGACCUCAUGUUUUUGAACGGCCGAAUUCUGAUUAGCUAGUUGUAGGGUAAAAGCUUCCCCAGGCAUCGAUCAGUAGCUGGUCUGAGAGGAGGCCCAGCCACACUGGAACUGAGACACGGUCCAGAUUCCUACGGGAGGCAGCAGUGGGGAAUUUUGGACAAUGGGCGCAAGCCUGAUCCAGCAAUGCCGCGUGAGUGAAGAAGGCCUUCGGGUUGUAAAGCUCUUUUGUCAGGGAAGAAACGGUGAGAGCUAAUAUCUUUUGCUAAUGACGGUACCUGAAGAAUAAGCACCGGCUAACUACGUGCCAGCAGCCGCGGUAAUACGUAGGGUGCAAGCGUUAAUCGGAAUUACUGGGCGUAAAGCGUGCGCAGGCGGUUUUGUAAGUCUGAUGUGAAAUCCCCGGGCUCAACCUGGGAAUUGCAUUGGAGACUGCAAGGCUAGAAUCUGGCAGAGGGGGGUAGAAUUCCACGUGUAGCAGUGAAAUGCGUAGAUAUGUGGAGGAACACCGAUGGCGAAGGCAGCCCCCUGGGUCAAGAUUGACGCUCAUGCACGAAAGCGUGGGGAGCAAACAGGAUUAGAUACCCUGGUAGUCCACGCCCUAAACGAUGUCUACUAGUUGUCGGGUCUUAAUUGACUUGGUAACGCAGCUAACGCGUGAAGUAGACCGCCUGGGGAGUACGGUCGCAAGAUUAAAACUCAAAGGAAUUGACGGGGACCCGCACAAGCGGUGGAUGAUGUGGAUUAAUUCGAUGCAACGCGAAAAACCUUACCUACCCUUGACAUGGAUGGAAUCCCGGAGAGAUCUGGGAGUGCUCGAAAGAGAACCAUUACACAGGUGCUGCAUGGCUGUCGUCAGCUCGUGUCGUGAGAUGUUGGGUUAAGUCCCGCAACGAGCGCAACCCUUGUCAUUAGUUGCUACGAAAGGGCACUCUAAUGAGACUGCCGGUGACAAACCGGAGGAAGGUGGGGAUGACGUCAAGUCCUCAUGGCCCUUAUGGGUAGGGCUUCACACGUCAUACAAUGGUACAUACAGAGCGCCGCCAACCCGCGAGGGGGAGCUAAUCGCAGAAAGUGUAUCGUAGUCCGGAUUGUAGUCUGCAACUCGACUGCAUGAA